AGCGCAAAGACAUUCUUCAAACCAGCCAAGCACUUGCCUUGCUACCCUUCCUUCCUGCACAAACCACAAUAAAGGGCCCUGCUCCCUCGGCCUCCUGACUGCCCUGGUGCCUCCCCCUUGGCCUCUGCGUGGUGUGUCUCCUCCUCGUGGGAACUGUGAGUGACAAUCUUAGCAGCAGUCCUCUCCCGAUCUGUUGGCCUCACCAUCAUAAAACGUACAUUUUAAAACAGUCAGACACUAUUUUAAGCUCACAGAAAUAUUAACUCGUUCGCACCUCAUAACCACCCCGUCAGGAAAUGAGGACACAGAAAAGUCACCUGGCCAAGGCCACACAGGCACUGGCUCCACACUUUAGGAGUUGAACCAAUCAAGAUGAUGCUGUCUGUAGGCCCCACAGACAUCUUAAAUGCGUAAAGGAAAUCAAAACCAAGGGAAGCUGGGGUCCAGACUGGCUGCACAUGAGUCAAGGAGCAUGUUCACUUCUGGAGGCAGCCGCCAUUCCUGGGCUUGCAGCCGCAUCACUCCAGUCUCUGCCUUGGUCCUCACCAGGACUUCUCCCUGUGUGUCUGUGCUUUCACAAGGCAGUCUCUUCUCACAAGUUCACCAUUCCUAUUGGAUUAGGAGCCCAUCCUACUCCAGUAUGACCUCAUCUUUACUUGAUUUCAUCUGCAAAGAUCUUGCUUCCAAAUAAAACUACAUUCACAGGUACCAGGGGUUCAAUGUAUCUUCUUUUAGGGGGAUAAAAUUCAACCCACAACAGUG
Molecule: long non-coding RNA, 762 nt
Filed under: Homo sapiens (human)
Lineage: Eukaryota; Metazoa; Chordata; Mammalia; Primates; Hominidae
Description: HSALNT0314218
Source: RNAcentral